UAUAUUAUUAUAUCGAUAUAAAAAUAAAAUAAAAUAGUGCUAAAGUAAAUGUUAUAUCUUUACUACAUCAAAGAACGUUUCUGUUUCAGAAUAAGAUUUUGCAAUCAAUCCUUAACUUUUAGUUACAUUCAGUUUUAUUACAGUUGGAUAAGAAAAGUAUUUUAUUUAAUAUAUUGAAAAACACACCACCUCGAUAAGAAUAAAAUCGUUGUGCAAACGAGGUAUUAACAGCGAUUCGUAUGUUGCGAAAAUUCUCCUAUAGUGGGGUAAUAGGAAUGAUGACUGGGUAUAAAAAGAAA
Trichoplusia ni (cabbage looper) is the source of this 299-nucleotide long non-coding RNA. RefSeq lists it as uncharacterized. The record is from RefSeq and is a predicted model, not a curated record. NCBI's taxonomy places the organism in Eukaryota, Metazoa, Arthropoda, Insecta, Lepidoptera, Noctuidae. The transcript has 3 exons.